AUUUAUUUAUUAUUUCAAUAGGUUUUUGGGGAACAGGUUGUGUUUGAUUUCAUGAAUAAAUUCUUUAGUGGUGAUUUCUGAGAUUUUGGUGCACCCAUUACCCGAGCAGUGUACACUGUACCCAACGUGCAGUCUUUCCUUUCCCCUGAGCCCCCAGAGUCCAUUGUGUCAUUCUUAUGCCUUUGUGUCCUGAUAGCUUAACUCCCACUUAUUAAUGAGAACAUACAAUGUUUGGUUUUCCAUUUCUGAAUUACUUCACUUAGAAUAACGGUCUCUAAUUCCAUCCAGGUUGCUGCAAAUGCCAUUAUUUCAUUCCUUUUUAUGGCUGAGUAGUAUUCCAUGGUGUAUAUAUCUAUAUUACAUUUUCUUUAUCCAUUCGUUGAUUGCUGGGCAUUUGGAAUGGUUCCAUAUUUUUGCACUUGUGAAUUGUGCUGCUAUACACAUGUGUGUGCAGGUAUCUUAAUAGCACCUACUUUGCAGGGCUGGAUUCCAUGCAGUAACUCUUCUAAUGCCCUCAGAACAGGGCCUGAUGCAUGGGGAAGACCUGAGUAUGUGCUCCUUGUUUUUAUUAUUUACUAAAUUAGGGUGAUCAGGGGAACUAUAAUUACUUGCUAGCAGGGUGUCUAAGGCAGCAGUUCUCAAGUUUUGGAUCUCAGGACCCUUUAACGUUUAGAAAAAUUAGUGCAGGCCUUGAGCUGUUGUGUAUAGGUCUGUCGUAUCUGUCCAUAUUUACAAUAGUAGAAAUUAAAGCUGUGAAAAAAUUAUGUAUUAAUUCAUUUGAAAAUGUUAACGAAUCUAUUUUGUUUACAUAAAUAAUACAUUUUUCAUGAAAAAUAGCUCUAUGUUUUAAAACCAAUAAAAUAAUAUGAAAGUGAGAAGUGACCUCGUUUUACAUCUUUGCAAAUCUCUUCACUGCCUGGCUUAAUAGAAGUCAGCUGGACUCUCACAUCCACUGUUGCCUUCAUUCUGCUACAAUAUCACACCACGUGUAGCCCUGGGAAACUCCACUGUACACCUGUGAGAGCAUGAGUGUGAGAAGGCAAAUAUCUUCCUACUGCUAUGAAAAUAAUUUUGGCCUUUUGUUCUCCUGAUCCUCUGAGAGACAUCUUAGGACCUCACUUAGAGAAUCACUGUCUAAGGUCUAUUUCAGGCAGGGGCCUCUCCAGCCCCUGAUGCCCUCCUGGCACCUGCUGGGCCUGGGGCUGAGUCCAGGCUUGCAGAAUCUAGUGGUGGCGGCGUGGUUAGUUGAUGGUGUGCAUUUGCAGCUGCUCUCUGAUCCAGUAGCACUGGGGAGGCAUGCAUGGGACUUCCCUGCACUUUACAGUGAGGACGCUCUGGCUCAGAGGGUGGAAGGGCCAAGAGUGGGGGCUGUGCAGGGGGCAUGCUGCUCUGCGUGAGGCAGGAGGGAGCCUCAGAAGGGUGCUCUCUUGGGCCUCAGAGGUUGUCUCUCUUCAUGCUGAAGUACCUCUUGCCUGAUAUGGCCUCUUAGGGGAGGUGGCAUUGGGUCUCUCUCCAACCUACACAUCCCCAAGUCCACCCUAUCACCGUGCACCCAAGACACCCUCACCCGCCUGCCUACCAGCCCCCAGCAAUGCACACACUGGGCCAGGCAGGUGCAGGGACUGCAGGUGAAUGAUGAAGGUCAAGCCACGGGCGCCUGGGUGAGACAGGUUUGCCCGGGCCUCCCUGAGCCCUGGUCUGUGGCCUGGGUCUGGAUGGGUGUGCUUUAUGUGCAUGUGACCUCUACCCCUGGGGGUGGCCCGUGUGUGUCUCUGAAGCCUCUCGCGGGGUCUGUCAGAGCUUUGUCCCUCCUUUUGUGAGCGUCUGCUCACUCCCGGGGCUGUGUGACUCCUUCUGGGUCUCUUGCUCAGUGACUCUCUCUCUCUCUCUGUCUGUGUGUGCACUGCACAUGCGUGGUGUGACACUUUCUCUGGGUCAGGGCAGCUUGCCAUUUCGGGGGCUAAGCUGGGGAGUGGCUGCAGAGCUCUCCCUUUGUCUCCAGCACAUUCUUCUAGGGCCAGAAGCGUUGUUGUGGCAACUGGUGGCUGCCCUGUCAAUGGGGCAGAUGUGCCUGUGACCACGUCGAGGGGGCUUGAUCUGUGUCCACUCCCCCACUGGCCCCUGGGCAAGCAGGCGGCCCUCAGGACAGGCCCCCCGCUUGUCCUCCAGCUCCUCCACUCAGACGCCUGCCCAAGCCCACCGCCUCUGAGCCUGGCUGGGCCCAGGCAGGGGGCCUGGCGAGUCUGGGAACAGGCUCCGAUCUCAUUCAUUCUCAUUCAACAAAUAUUUAUUAACCCCAACUGUGUGCUGGCACUGGGAACCCAGCAGCCACAAAGACAGACAAAGUCCUGCUCUCUUGAAACUUAAUGACCAUAUUAAUACGCAAAGCUCACACUUCCACACCCUCACGGCAUGCCAGGCACUAUGUUUAGCAACUUGCAUAUAUUAACUCAUUUAAUCACUGUGAUAAUCCCAUUACUCUUCCUAUUUUACUAAUGAUGAAGUACAAGCACAGAGAUGUUAAGUUAUUUGCCCCAAACCACACAGCCAGUAAAUAGAGCCAGGAGUGAAUCCAGGGCAUCUGGCUCCAGGGUCCAUGCUCUUAAUCACUAUACUGUAUAGCCUCUAACAAAUGAGAAGCAUCAUUUCAGAUAGUGGUAAGAGCCACGAAGAAACAAAAAUAGUGGGUGAGGGGGUGCUGGGAGCCAGGUUAGUUGUGAGUAUGUCCUGAAGUGUUGGCAUUUGACAUGAGCCCUAUUAACAAGAAAGAGUCAGCCAUGCGAUGACCAGAGGGAGCAGCAUGUGCACAGGCCCAGAGGCAGUGUGGAAGCUGGCUUGUUAGAGGAACAGAAGGAGGAGGGAUAGGCUAGAUCCUGGAUAGAAAGGGGCUCUGUGCUGUACCAAAUGAACUCCCAGAUCCCACAGCCGUGUAUUUCCUGCCUGCGGAUAUUCCUGACCAGCAGGUUGACUUUCCUCCAGGUGGACAGUCAGGGACCCAGAGCCCUUCCUUCUGUGGCUUCACAGCUGGCAUCCCAUGGCCCACAUAGGUAAGGAGCGUUGGGGGUGUUGACGGGCCAGGAAGUGGAGUGCAUCGCCUCUACUCCAUCAUCCAGAACCCAGUCACAUGGCCCAGAAUAAGAGGAUCUGGGAGUGGCAAAAAGCCAGCCAGACUCAGCCCCAUAAAUGGCUGGUGGUUGUGCAGACAGAGAGAGCUCAGAUUUGGGUAUAGGUUGAGGUUGAAUCAAUGGGACUUGUUGAUGGAUGGAGUAGAGGAAGACAAGACCCAUGACUGACUCCAGGACUGCACAACUGGCAGGGUGAGCAGCUGAGGCUCGAGGGCUCCACACAGCAGAAUGGCUGUGUCCCCACCAUAGCAUCAGUGCUAAGGAGCUCUCCUUUUGUUCCGUGAUUGAGUUCUGGGAAAUCAUUCCCCUCCCUCUCCCCACACCCUUUGCUAUGUAGCUGGGCAGGUCCUGCUGGGAAGAGGUGGCAUCUGCUUCCCUACACCUUGAAUCUGGGCUGGCCUGGACUUGCUUUUGCCAGUAGGACAUGGAGAACUAAUAUAGUGAUGGUACCAAGCCAGGGCCUCAAGAAGCCUUGCAGCAUCUGCUCCCACUUUUGGAGUCCUUCCCCUCUGAUGGAAACCAGCUUGGGCCAGCCUGCUGGAGGAUGAGACCAUGUGGAAGAGACCCUGGUUGUCCUAGCAGAAGCCACCCUAGAGCAGCCUAUAGACAGCUGACCCCAAAAUAUGUGGAAGAUUCUGCUAAGCUCAGCAGCGCCACCUACUUGACCCACAGCUGACCAUAGGUGUGUGAGAGAGCCCAGUUGAGACCAGAAGUGCCCGGUGCACCCAUGCACUCAUGAGCAAAGAUCAAUCCAUAGUGUCUGGAGGCAGUUAGUUUGGGGGUAGUUUGUUAUUCAGCCAUAGCUCACUGACACAAUUCCCCAAGCAGGAAAGGAACCUGGUCAUCGAGCCUGGGACAUGAGUUCCAGUCCUGUGCCUGUCAGUGAAUUUUCAUGUGGGUGGGCCCUGUAGCAGGCUCUGGAGCACCAUCAAGGAGUGUGGUUCUGAUUCUAGCAGGCCAGGAAAAGAAUGUGGGCAAGGGCUGCAUGUGGGUGGCCCUGGGUCUCAUCCUCCCUGAAGCAGCAUGAACAGACUUUUCAGAGGAGUCUUCAGAAGAGUUUGUCAGGUGGGGGAAAGGUGAGUGCUCUGGGCAGAGGAGACAGCAAAGGACAAGAUGUACAGAGAAAUGGGACCACAGUAAUUCUGUGCUGGAGACAAAUAGGGUGUGGUGAUGAAAGAGAGGGCAUGAGAACUGCUAGAACCUCAUCUGGCAGAGUGCUUAUCUCCUAAGUGGCACCAUUGCUACUGCUGUGCAAAAGGCUGCCAGCAUGGCAGGUGCAAGGUCACUGUGGGAUAAGGAACUUGGACUUUACCUACAGGACAAUGGGGAGCCAUGGCUGGUGGUAGGUAUGGUGUGAGUUGGUCUGGCCAGAGCUUGGAGGCUGGCUUGAUGGGGUAUGAGUGGAAGCAGGGAGACCUGGAGGAAGCCUUGGCAUUCUUUCAGAUUCUCACCUGAAAGAGACAAUGGUGGCCAAAGAAGGUGAUGGGCAGUGAGAAAACUCAUGAGAUGCCCCAGGGAGAAACUGCCAGAGCUUGGCAGCCUGUUGAAUGUGCCUGGUGUUGGGGAGGAAUUUGACAAUGGCAAUCUGCAUCUGGCAUGGACAGCCUGUGUGGUCCACAGCCUGAACCUCUUAUCUCCAUCUUCCUCAAGCCUCUGUUUGAGGUGGUGGAAUGCUCAGGUGAUGAUGGCUCAGAUGAUGUGUGACAGCCCAAACUAUAGCCUUCCUUCCCUUGCUUCUGGGUGGUGAGGCCUUGAAGAGGUAAUUUCUCUUCCCUGAGACUGGUUGUCAUUUGUGAAGUGGGAGCAAGAGGCUUCCUAGGGUCUCAGGAAACAUGUCUUAGACUUGCCUUGAAGUGUGCAGGGGACAGCCCCACCUCAGGUGGGAAAAGCCUCCCCAGGACUGUCCUGACCUCAGGUGGGAAAAGCUUCCCCAGGACUGUCCUGACCUCAGGUCGAAAAUCCUCCCCAGGACUGUCCUGACCUUGGGUGGGAAAAGCCUCCUCAGGACUGUGCCUGCCCUUGGGUGGAAAAGCCUCCCCAGGACUGUCUUGACCUUUGGUGGGAAAAGCCUCCCCAGGUCUGUUCUGACUCAGGUCUUGCUGAGGGGCUCCCUUGCCAAUUGGCAGGGCACCCUCUGCAGAGAGGUUCAGGCACUGGUUCAUCUCCUCAGGGCCUUUGGGAAAGUCCAGUUCCUGCUCCGUGAAGCCCUGAGCUAGUUUUAAACUCAAGUCCAGAGGCUGUGUGUGUGUGUGUGUGUGUAUAGGAACUUUAUCCCUCUUAACCGUUUCCCUCAAAUUAUUUUGCUGCCUCCAUUGGUGCACUAUGUUGGUGCAAGGCCAUCCCUGGGAGGCACACAUCCUGGACUUUGUUUUCUCACUGCCAAAUUUGCUGUGUGGCCUUGAGCCCUGGCCCUCUCUGGGCCUCAGUUUCUCCAGUUCUAAAACAAGAGAUGUGUCCAAGUCAGAGACUGUAUGCUGGUGGCAUGAAGGCCAAGUUCAGCCCACAGUCAUGUUUUGCUUCAUCCUCAUGGUGUUUGUCAAUGUACAGAAAAAGUGGGAUAUUUUACUUAAAAACCUGGAUGCUUGUCCUUUCUUGAAAAAUCAGAGGAUCUGACCAUGAAGAGGCCCACAUUCCCAUGUGGCAAAAAUGCCCUUGUGUUGAGCAGCUUACUUUCUGAGACUGGGUUCCUGCCAAGACCCCAGGCAUUUGGUUUCUCAUCACUAUAGUCCUGGGCUUUCUGAUGUUUUUGGUUCAGCCUCUAACGAUUUUGGCCUUUGUAACGUCAGUUUUUUUGAAAAGCCACUUUAGGAAUAGACCAAAGGGGCUGGUGGAUACCUCUGCCCAAUGCAGAACCAAAUAUUUAUUACCAUAAGCCAUGUUUGAAGAAUCCCAUAGUUGUGGAGAGAAUAGUGAUAAUAAUAAUUAAUAAUAAUAUUUAGCAUUCAUCCAUUGCUUUGCAACUCAAAGUGCCAUACAGUCAUUACUGGGAGGAUCCUCACAACAGCCCUGUGAGGUAGGUGCCAAGGAGGUCAGAAGCAGAAGGGUUGCAAGGUCGGGAAGCCAUCCUGAUCAU
This 6198-nucleotide long non-coding RNA is filed under the name Homo sapiens (human). Its description in RNAcentral is "HSALNT0051222". Lineage: Eukaryota; Metazoa; Chordata; Mammalia; Primates; Hominidae. The record is from RNAcentral.